RNAcentral lists this ribosomal RNA (293 nucleotides) under uncultured bacterium. RNAcentral describes it as "partial 16S ribosomal RNA". It matches the Rfam family "Archaeal small subunit ribosomal RNA", at positions 455 to 747 of the family's 1478-position model. The record is from RNAcentral.
GUGCCAGCCGCCGCGGUAAUACCGGCAGCUCGAGUGAUGGCCAAUAUUAUUGGGCCUAAAGCGUCCGUAGCUGGCCGAACAGGUCUGUCGGGAAAUCCGCUCGCUCAACGAGCGGACGUCCGGCGGAAACCAGUCGGCUUGGGACCGGAAGACCCGAGGGGUACGUCCGGGGUAGGAGUGAAAUCCUGUAAUCCUGGACGGACCACCGGUGGCGAAAGCGCCUCGGGAGGACGGAUCCGACAGUGAGGGACGAAAGCGUGGGUCACGAACCGGAUUAGAAACCCUGGUAGUCC